RNAcentral lists this ribosomal RNA (375 nucleotides) under Triticum aestivum (bread wheat). Its description in RNAcentral is "partial small subunit ribosomal RNA". The record is from RNAcentral. Lineage: Eukaryota; Viridiplantae; Streptophyta; Magnoliopsida; Poales; Poaceae.
AUGGAUCACAACCUGGAGAUUCUCUGCUGGAAUGUGCGGGUUUUAAAUAACCCGGCAAAAAGAAAGGCGAUUAGGGAGAUCGUCGUCUCGACAAAAGUUAACGUGGUGUGUCUGCAGGAGACAAAACUCAAUGUAAUUGAUCAAUAUGAUGUUAUGCAAUGCAUAGGGCCAUCCUUUGAUGGUUUUGCUUAUUUGCCAGCGUCGGAGACCCGUGGUGGCAUCCUUUUGGCUUGGGACUCCAGUGUGGCGUACAUGGAUAAUGUGGUGGCCGAUACUUAUUGUAUCACUGGCAGAGUGACUACAAAGGAGGGGAACAUGUGGUGGUUUACCGGAGUUUACGGGCCACAGGGGGUGAGGAUAAAGCUGCAUUCCUAG